UUUUGUAGCGUAAAAGCAAAAUAUAUUCUUAUAUACAGUAACAUAGAUAACUAGAGUAUGUAAUUUAAUUUACAAUGACGUGUGGGCCCCCCUCGAAUGACCAAAAGUAACGAAGGCUGCGAACCUACAGUUUUGAGGAUGCAAAUCCAACUGUAGCCCUCGACGAAAUCAGUUAUCUACAGACUAACCUGAGCCUAAAAUGGGUGGAAAUGAGGGGUGAGUUUUUAUAAACCCAAUGAGUAAACAAACAUCAUCUCAAAUAUCUAAAGCCGAGUAAAUGAAGACAACUUAAAAUAGUUCAUCGUACUAUGAUUCAUAACGUUUCAAACUCAUUUCAACUUAACAAAAUAAAUUCAUUUCACUCAAAUAAUCAACAUGGCUUAUGAAUUUCUUAAAAAUUUGGCUCGUGCCAAAACUUAUUCUCGGGGAUACCUUGGCCGAGGCAUCCAACCGAGUCCUCCAAGGCUGUUAAAGAAAAGUUCAUAUACUCAUAAAACACAUUUUUACGUUUAAAAGCAUAGCCGUUCCUUGGCGUUGGUUGAGUUCACCCUCAAGUGGUGGUUUAGCGUGUAGUGAACUCUAAAGCUUUACCUUAGGAGAUACCCUCCGCGCCUCUCGUACUAAGGUAAAUAUAAUGGGGUUUACCGUGCCCCUCUAAUAGGCUGGUCCACGAUAACCCGCCCACUGCAGUAAC
This 694-nucleotide long non-coding RNA is filed under the name Theobroma cacao (cacao). Its description in RNAcentral is "long non-coding RNA (TCAC_LNC005518)". The record is from RNAcentral. Lineage: Eukaryota; Viridiplantae; Streptophyta; Magnoliopsida; Malvales; Malvaceae.